GAGGGUACAGCUCAAGUGGUAGAGCAUGUGCUUAGCAUGCACAAGGGCCUAGGUUCAAUCCCCAGUACCUUCG
RNAcentral lists this transfer RNA (73 nucleotides) under Camelus bactrianus (Bactrian camel). It matches the Rfam family "tRNA". From Rfam's summary of the family: Transfer RNA (tRNA) molecules are approximately 80 nucleotides in length. Their secondary structure includes four short double-helical elements and three loops (D, anti-codon, and T loops). RNAcentral also lists the same sequence under 2 other names. The record is from Rfam by way of RNAcentral. Lineage: Eukaryota; Metazoa; Chordata; Mammalia; Artiodactyla; Camelidae.